CUGAUUGGCUGGUGCUGUUGCUGCGUAGGGGACACUUGUGGCAGGAGUUGUUGCUGCAGAGACAGUAGCAGGCGUAGCACUGUACAUCAUUGGGACUUUACUGCUAGCAGGAGUCAUGCACAAGACUGACCCUGUGGUAAAGAA
Thalassophryne amazonica is the source of this 144-nucleotide long non-coding RNA. RefSeq lists it as uncharacterized. The record is from RefSeq and is a predicted model, not a curated record. NCBI's taxonomy places the organism in Eukaryota, Metazoa, Chordata, Actinopteri, Batrachoidiformes, Batrachoididae. The transcript has 3 exons.